Molecule: ribosomal RNA, 253 nt
Filed under: uncultured bacterium
Lineage: Bacteria
Description: partial 16S ribosomal RNA
Rfam family: Bacterial small subunit ribosomal RNA
Source: RNAcentral
UACGGGGGGGGCAAGCGUUGUUCGGAAUUACUGGGCGUAAAGGGCUCGUAGGUGGCCAACUAAGUCAGACGUGAAAUCCCCAGGCUUAACCUGGGAACUGCGUCUGAUACUGGAUGGCUUGAAUUCGGGAGAGGGAUGCAGAAUUCCAGGUGUAGCGGUGAAAUGCGUAGAUAUCUGGAGGAACACCGGUGGCGAAGGCGGAUCUCUGGGCCUUACCUGACGCUCAGGCGCGAAAGCUAGGGGAGCAAACGGG